This 589-nucleotide ribosomal RNA is filed under the name uncultured bacterium. RNAcentral's name for it is "bacterial SSU rRNA". It matches the Rfam family "Bacterial small subunit ribosomal RNA", at positions 100 to 714 of the family's 1533-position model. The record is from RNAcentral.
GUACGGGUGAGUAACACGUGGAUUAUCUACCCUUUAGUGGGGAAUAACCCUGGGAAACCGGGGCUAAUACCGAUAAGCCUGGAAAGGGAAAGCAGAAUGGCGCUGAAGGAGGAGUCCGGGGCGAUUAGUUAGUUGGCGGGGUAAUGGCCCACCAAGACUUGUGAUCGGUAUCCGGGCUUGAGAGGGCCGCACGGGACACACUUGGGAACUUGAAAACACGGGCCAAGAAUUCUACGGGAGGCAGCAGUGGGGAAUUUUGCGCAAUGGGGGAAACCCUGACGCAGCAACGCCGCGUGGAGGAUGAAGUACUUCGGUACGUAAACUCCUUUCGAUCGGGACGAUAAUGACGGUACCGAGAGAAGAAGCCCCGGCUAACUUCGUGCCAGCAGCCGCGGUAAUACGAGGGGGGCGAGCGUUGUUCGGAAUUAUUGGGCGUAAAGGGUGCGUAGGCGGUUUGGUAAGUCUGAUGUGAAAUCUAUGGGCUCAACUCAUAGUCUGCAUAGGAAACUGUCGGGCUUGAGUAUUGGAGAGGUGAGUGGAAUUUCCGGUGUAGCGGUGAAAUGCGUAGAUAUCGGAAGGAACACCUGUG